UACGUAGGGUGCGAGCGUUGUCCGGAAUUAUUGGGCGUAAAGAGCUUGUAGGCGGUUUGUCGCGUCUGCCGUGAAAAUCCGGGGGCUCAACCCCGGACUUGCGGUGGGUACGGGCAGACUAGAGUGUGGUAGGGGAGACUGGAAUUCCUGGUGUAGCGGUGAAAUGCGCAGAUAUCAGGAGGAACACCGAUGGCGAAGGCAGGUCUCUGGGCCACUACUGACGCUGAGAAGCGAAAGCGUGGGGAGCGAACAGG
Molecule: ribosomal RNA, 254 nt
Filed under: uncultured bacterium
Lineage: Bacteria
Description: partial 16S ribosomal RNA
Rfam family: Bacterial small subunit ribosomal RNA
Source: RNAcentral